AGUAACAAAUGUAGUCUUAUUAUAACAUAAUAAAACUUUCAACAACGGAUCUCUUGGCUCUCGCAUCGAUGAAGAACGCAGCGAAAUGCGAUAAGUAAUGUGAAUUGCAGAAUUCAGUGAAUCAUCGAAUCUUUGAACGCACCUUGCGCUCCUUGGUAUUCCGAGGAGCAUGCCUGUUUGAGUGUCAUGAAACCCUCAAACCCAAGUUUUGGAUUUCGAUCCAUGCUUGAGUUUGGAUUUGGAUGUUUGCCGGUGAUGAACCGACUCAUCUUAAAAGUAUUAGCUUGAUCUGUCUAUAUGACUGGUUUGACUUGGCAUAAUAAGUAUUUUGCUGAGGACAUCUUCGGAUGGCCAGGACCUAGACUACUGUCUGCUAACUAAACCAUCACUUUAAGUGCAUCUUUGGAUGUUACUCAUUGUGUAACUUUGACAUCUGGCCUCAAAUCAAGUAGGACUACCCGCUGAACUUAAGCA
Molecule: ribosomal RNA, 474 nt
Filed under: uncultured fungus
Lineage: Eukaryota; Fungi
Description: eukaryotic LSU rRNA
Rfam family: 5.8S ribosomal RNA (bases 34-187)
Source: RNAcentral